Non-coding RNA from Oryza sativa Japonica Group (Japanese rice), 1862 nucleotides. Lineage: Eukaryota; Viridiplantae; Streptophyta; Magnoliopsida; Poales; Poaceae. The record is from RefSeq and is a predicted model, not a curated record.
CAUCCCUCCCCCUCCCCAAUCCCGCACCGCCGGCUUCCACUGCUCUCCUGGCCAUCUCUCCCACGCCACCAUCGUCGCCGUAUCCCCGUCGCCGCCGCUACACCAUCGCCGAGAAUCCCCUUCGCCGCCGUCUGCGGGCCGCGAGCUCCUCCCCUCCCCCUCAGCCGCCGCCGAUGCGACGGCCUCUGGCUUCCAACACGCUUCGAAGCCUCUGCUUCCGUCACCACGCGGCCUGCCCGUCCGCCGGCAUGAAUCAACCGCGAUCUCAGCCCUAGAAGGGCGUGCAAUGAAGCAGCCGCUGCUGCUUGGCGCACAUAUCGGCCCGUACGCUUGCACUACACCGGUGCCCGCACUAGGCUCACUGAAUGAUGCCAAGAUAUAUGACAAGGUAUGGUCUCUAAGUGGCUUCCUGAAUUUACAACUGAACCCUGUCCACAUCUCUCCAUUAACUGAGUCAGUCUAAUGGGAUAGAAGCACUACAAUACUGUAUUGGUGAUGGACGUCCUGCAGGCCCUGGUAAACAAGGCAAUCUCAGCUGGCGCCAUGUGCGGGAUGGGAGGCAGGCUGCGGCCACCAGCGAUUUCUUUGUAUGCAAAACUUCUUCGGCAUGGCGUUACGGCUUAAAUGGUUGGCAAAGAGAGGAGAGCAUCGCGACAGACCUUGGACAACCAUUGAGACUAAGCAGCCGAAGGAGUUACAGGACCUGUUCUUCUCAGCCACACGGCAAGUGUUGGGAGAUGGGGGAAAACACAAAGUUUUGGCUUGCGGAUUGGCUGCCAAUUGGGAGCAUAAAGGCGAGAUUUCCGUUAAUCUUCAGUCAUGUGGAGCGCAAGGGUUUGACAGUGGCGAGAGGACUACAGAACCAUAGGUGGGUGCGCGACAUCAAAGGAGCUCCAUCCAACCGAGCCAUUGGGGAGUACUUUCAAAUUUGGGAUGCGAUCCAGAAGGUGCAGCUGCGAGGAGGGGAAGAGGAUGAGACAAUAUGGAAGUGGGCCUCGAAUGGAAGAUUUACCCCUUCCUCUGCCUAUGACAUGUUUUUUAUGGCAAACACAGAGGCGCGUUGUGGCAAUCUAGUUUGGCACACGAGAACACCGACAAAGGUUAAGUUCUUUAUGUGGUUGGCAGAAAAAGGCCGUUGCCUAACGGCCGACAACCUGAGCAAGCGCGGAUGGCCACACCAUCAAACAUUCUCACUAUGCACCAGCAGCGACGAGGACUGUGAGCAUCUCUUUGUUUCCUGCCCAUACACCACCAGAGUAUGGAGGAUGAUCAAGGGUUGGGCUGGAAUUGGCAUCCAACUGCCGGCUGAAGCAGGGUUGGAACUAGGGGAAUGGUGGCUCUUGGCGUGGCAAGGAGUUCAGACUAGCUGCAGGGGCGCUUUUGACACGCUAGUUUUGCUUGUCUGUUGGAUGGUUUGGAAGGAGAGAAACGCACGUGUUUUCCAGAGUCAGAGCCGGACAGCGGGUAGCCUCUUUGCUUUGAUUAAAGAGGAGGUUGUGGUCUGGAAAGAAGCCGGGGUUUUCAAAGUUUUAGGAGAGUAACAACAGCAUGAUGUAAUUGUUUUUUCUUUCGGGAAGUUGCCCUUGUGACAACAUCCUUUUACUUCGACAGCCUCUUGUCGAAGUUGGAACCUUGUAAAUAUGUACAUACCCCUUUCUUAAGUAAAUUUGGUCCGCCUAUCUUAGGCCGGCCCGGCUAAAAAAAUAAUGUGUGGAGAGUGGAGACUAUGAAUCUUAAAAGUUUUGAUUUUUUAUUUUUUCUAUGGAGGGCAUACUACCAUUUGUGUAAUGUGUAAUGUGUAAAGAACUACUGAUAAUGCAUUAGGGGAUUUGGCUAGGAUUUGGAGAAGCUGGUUCUUGCGA